AUAUGGUCAAGUGAAGAAGCGCAUACGGUGGAUGCCUUGGCAGUCAGAGGCGAUGAAAGACGUGGUAGCCUGCGAAAAGCUUCGGGGAGUCGGCAAACAGACUUUGAUCCGGAGAUGUCUGAAUGGGGGAACCCAGCCAUCAUAAGAUGGUUAUCUUGUACUGAAUACAUAGGUGCAAGAGGCGAACCAGGGGAACUGAAACAUCUAAGUACCCUGAGGAAAAGAAAUCAACCGAGAUUCCCUUAGUAGUGGCGAGCGAACGGGGACUAGCCCUUAAGUGGCUUUGAGAUUAGCGGAACGCUCUGGAAAGUGCGGCCAUAGUGGGUGAUAGCCCUGUACGCGAAAAUCUCUUAGUCAUGAAAUCGAGUAGGACGGAGCACGAGAAACUUUGUCUGAAUAUGGGGGGACCAUCCUCCAAGGCUAAAUACUACUGACUGACCGAUAGUGAACUAGUACCGUGAGGGAAAGGCGAAAAGAACCCCGGAGAGGGGAGUGAAAUAGAUCCUGAAACCGUAUGCGUACAAGCAGUGGGAGCCCACUUUGUUGGGUGACUGCGUACCUUUUGUAUAAUGGGUCAGCGACUUAUUUUCAGUGGCGAGCUUAACCGAAUAGGGGAGGCGUAGCGAAAGCGAGUCUUAAUAGGGCGUCUAGUCGCUGGGAAUAGACCCGAAACCGGGCGAUCUAUCCAUGGGCAGGUUGAAGGUUGGGUAACACUAACUGGAGGACCGAACCGACUACCGUUGAAAAGUUAGCGGAUGACCUGUGGAUCGGAGUGAAAGGCUAAUCAAGCUCGGAGAUAGCUGGUUCUCCUCGAAAGCUAUUUAGGUAGCGCCUCAUGUAUCACUGUAGGGGGUAGAGCACUGUUUCGGCUAGGGGGUCAUCCCGACUUACCAAACCGAUGCAAACUCCGAAUACCUACAAGUGCCGAGCAUGGGAGACACACGGCGGGUGCUAACGUCCGUCGUGAAAAGGGAAACAACCCAGACCGUCAGCUAAGGUCCCAAAGUUAUGGUUAAGUGGGAAACGAUGUGGGAAGGCUUAGACAGCUAGGAGGUUGGCUUAGAAGCAGCCACCCUUUAAAGAAAGCGUAAUAGCUCACUAGUCGAGUCGGCCUGCGCGGAAGAUGUAACGGGGCUCAAACCAUACACCGAAGCUACGGGUAUCACUUAGGUGAUGCGGUAGAGGAGCGUUCUGUAAGCCUGUGAAGGUGAGUUGAGAAGCUUGCUGGAGGUAUCAGAAGUGCGAAUGCUGACAUGAGUAACGACAAUGGGUGUGAAAAACACCCACGCCGAAAGACCAAGGUUUCCUGCGCAACGUUAAUCGACGCAGGGUUAGUCGGUCCCUAAGGCGAGGCUGAAAAGCGUAGUCGAUGGAAAACAGGUUAAUAUUCCUGUACUUCUGGUUAUUGCGAUGGAGGGACGGAGAAGGCUAGGCCAGCUUGGCGUUGGUUGUCCAAGUUUAAGGUGGUAGGCUGAGAUCUUAGGUAAAUCCGGGAUCUUAAGGCCGAGAGCUGAUGACGAGUUACCCUUUGGGUGACGAAGUGGUUGAUGCCAUGCUUCCAAGAAAAGCUUCUAAGCUUCAGGUAACCAGGAACCGUACCCCAAACCGACACAGGUGGUUGGGUAGAGAAUACCAAGGCGCUUGAGAGAACUCGGGUGAAGGAACUAGGCAAAAUGGCACCGUAACUUCGGGAGAAGGUGCGCCGGUGAGGGUGAAGCACUUGCUGCGUAAGCCCACGCCGGUCGAAGAUACCAGGCCGCUGCGACUGUUUAUUAAAAACACAGCACUCUGCAAACACGAAAGUGGACGUAUAGGGUGUGACGCCUGCCCGGUGCCGGAAGGUUAAUUGAUGGGGUUAGCUAACGCGAAGCUCUUGAUCGAAGCCCCGGUAAACGGCGGCCGUAACUAUAACGGUCCUAAGGUAGCGAAAUUCCUUGUCGGGUAAGUUCCGACCUGCACGAAUGGCGUAACGAUGGCGGCGCUGUCUCCACCCGAGACUCAGUGAAAUUGAAAUCGCUGUGAAGAUGCAGUGUAUCCGCGGCUAGACGGAAAGACCCCGUGAACCUUUACUAUAGCUUUGCACUGGACUUUGAAUUUGCUUGUGUAGGAUAGGUGGGAGGCUUUGAAGCGUGGACGCCAGUUCGCGUGGAGCCAUCCUUGAAAUACCACCCUGGCAACUUUGAGGUUCUAACUCAGGUCCGUUAUCCGGAUCGAGGACAGUGUAUGGUGGGUAGUUUGACUGGGGCGGUCUCCUCCUAAAGAGUAACGGAGGAGUACGAAGGUGCGCUCAGACCGGUCGGAAAUCGGUCGUAGAGUAUAAAGGCAAAAGCGCGCUUGACUGCGAGACAGACACGUCGAGCAGGUACGAAAGUAGGUCUUAGUGAUCCGGUGGUUCUGUAUGGAAGGGCCAUCGCUCAACGGAUAAAAGGUACUCCGGGGAUAACAGGCUGAUACCGCCCAAGAGUUCAUAUCGACGGCGGUGUUUGGCACCUCGAUGUCGGCUCAUCACAUCCUGGGGCUGAAGCCGGUCCCAAGGGUAUGGCUGUUCGCCAUUUAAAGUGGUACGCGAGCUGGGUUUAGAACGUCGUGAGACAGUUCGGUCCCUAUCUGCCGUGGACGUUUGAGAUUUGAGAGGGGCUGCUCCUAGUACGAGAGGACCGGAGUGGACGAACCUCUGGUGUUCCGGUUGUCACGCCAGUGGCAUUGCCGGGUAGCUAUGUUCGGAAAAGAUAACCGCUGAAAGCAUCUAAGCGGGAAACUUGCCUCAAGAUGAGAUCUCACUGGGACCUUGAGUCCCCUGAAGGGCCGUCGAAGACUACGACGUUGAUAGGUGGGGUGUGUAAGCGCUGUGAGGCGUUGAGCUAACCCAUACUAAUUGCCCGUGAGGCUUGACCA
RNAcentral lists this ribosomal RNA (2895 nucleotides) under Pseudomonas sp. A214. Its description in RNAcentral is "bacterial LSU rRNA". It matches the Rfam family "Bacterial large subunit ribosomal RNA". The record is from RNAcentral. Lineage: Bacteria; Pseudomonadati; Pseudomonadota; Gammaproteobacteria; Pseudomonadales; Pseudomonadaceae.